Molecule: long non-coding RNA, 3059 nt
Organism: Schistocerca gregaria
Lineage: Eukaryota; Metazoa; Arthropoda; Insecta; Orthoptera; Acrididae
Exons: 2
Source: RefSeq, a predicted model, not a curated record
CUCGCAGUAGAAAAAGCUGGUAUUUCCAUUUUGUCUUUUAUAGCGUCCUACACACGUUCCGCUUCAUGAGGCAACCGACCAAUAAACGAUGGGGGCAAUGUUCAGACUGGGCAAGAAAAUUGGACACAUCCUAUCAAAGCAAUCAUCCCAGCAUUUCCAUUAAGCAAUACAAACAAAACCAAGGAAAACCUAAAUCUUGAUGGGUGGAUAGGCAUUUGAGUUGCUGUACUCAGAAUGUGCAUCUAGUCACUUCACAGCUACAAGACUUGGCCUGGGAUGGGAUGUUGGAUGGGUGCAUUGGGCAUAGUCUGAUGAUAAGUAAAAUAUUUAGAAACAUAUGGAUUUGUUACCUUGGUGAUGAGUGUCUCAUUAUGAGCGUGUAGUGUGAAGAUUCUUUCAGAUAUUUCACUAACAUUCUAUGCUACCAGACUAUUUCCAUGUAUGUAGAGUAAUGUACAAACUCUGAAAACAACUGGGUGCACUUGACAUGCCAAAUAUGCAAGAAAAAUAAAUUUGUAUCCUACACUCUGAGACUAUAUUUUUGAACUAAAGCAAUUUUCAGAAUAGUACCAAAGCAAGUAUUUUAAUAAAGUUUAGUUACUAACAAUGAGUACCAUGUUCCUAAUAUUUCAAAAUUGUCCAGAGAAGAGUUAAAACUCUCCAUCUUAAAGGGCACAUAACUGGUCCACAAAAUCUCUGCCUAAAGAUUAUCUCUACAGACUGGUUUACAUAAUUAUCUAAACCUCAGCAUUUGAGAAAGAGAUGCACAAGAAUAGGGAAAAUCAAAUGUAAACACAAUUUUAUUGUUCAUAACAAAUGACUAAGUUGUAAAUGGAUUCAUGAAAUUCUUGUUAUUUGUCUUUAAUCACAUUUACACAAUGUAUUUCAAAAUUCAAAAGCAAUUUUCCAACUAUUUACAGGGAAUUCAUUUGUAUUUUCCAUUUACUGAAAGGCACAGAAGUUAUUAGAGAGGUAUAAUUUAUAAACAUGUUCCUUUGAGCGUUCUUUCUCUGGCAUUUGAGAAUGUGAAUGAUGAGAAUAUUGCACAGAUUUUAAACGAACAAGUAUUACUGUAAUUGCCUGAGUCUCGACUCCAAAAAUGAAAUUAACAAUUCUCCAAGAUACAAUUGUUGCAUGGACUAUAAUUACGUCAAGCCUGUGCAAAUAUUUAACCACGUGCUCAUCCAGUGGCUUGAGACCUAUGCAAAAGAGAUUUCAAACAUUAAGGAGCAUAUAAAUCUUGCCUGUGAUAAAUCACUGCUCAAAUUAAUUAACACGUUUCCACCAAUUCGGCAUUUUCAACAGUGUAAAUUUAAAGAACUUACAACAUUGUACACCUUCUUACAAACUCAUUCGUGUGAAUAAUUUAAGGUCAUUAUAUCACAGCACUGGUUGUUACAUGAACACGCACAAAACUUGGUAUCCUUUUAUUAUGGUACGUCAUUUUUCCAAUUAAUGUUUUACUUUGAAUUCAUUUGAAUAAUUCAAUAACACUGUAUGAUCCAACAAUUUAAAUCUUUCUAACAAGCCACUAUAUGAAAAUUGAUUAAAUACCACAGAAAAUAUCAUAAUUCUUAAUCUGAGUAUCAGUUUUUGAGGAACCUAUCCUAAAAAAAUAGAAUAUCCUUUCCAUAUCAAUAAAAUAUGGGGGAAGGAGUGCAGCAACAAUGUUUUUAGGGUGUUUCCAAGACUGUUUUAUGAAACAGAAAUGAUACCUGAUAAAUCAUGACCAAGUAUCACUGUGCGCAGUCAGCAUUUACAAAUGAAAAAUAGUUCAAAGAAAACAAAAUUGGGUACGGAAAACAUCCCAAAAUUUAUGAGUAUUUAACAGAAGAGGUUACUCAAAAUAUAAUCUCUGAUGUUAUACUACACAUUUUGCUCUAUCUCAUUGUUACCCUGGAAAGCUGGCAGUUAUCAAGUGAACAGUUAAACAGCAUUUUAGAUACAUGUAUUCAGGUCAGUGCACCUUUCUCUCUAAUGAGCACUAGCAUCAUCAUCAUCAUCAUCAUCAUCAUCAUCAUCAUCAUCAUCAUUGUUGUAGUUGUCAUAUUUUAGUAUUGGUAUAUUGCGUAUAAGUGUGCAGCUUCCACACAAACAUAAAAAGAUUGACUAUGGUUCAAAUGAGGCAAUAUAAUUUGAAUAAGAUGCUUUAUUCACAGCUAAUUUCAAAUUAAUAGUUAUUUUCAAGUGUAUCUAGCAAACAUAACAAUUGACAUAUAUAAGAACAUGAAGUGGGAGAAACAUUUACAUCCAAAGUGACAGUAAACAUAGGUACACAGUCAUUAGUAAACUAACAAAAGAGAGAAAAGCUCUCUCUCAGUAUACUAAUGAAUGUGUAACCAUGUUGGUUGUCCCUCAUAAACAUCGUCGUUUUCCAACGCCAGUUUCCCGGGUGUGGUGUACAAGUGCUCGCCAUCUGCUUCUGUCUUCGUACAUCUUCUGUUUCAGGACAGCUUCCUUGGUUGUUACAAUGCAAACUGAUAAUCCUCAUUGUUCAUGUCCUCAUAUAUACUUACUAGAUACACUUUAAAAUUACUCUUAGGCUUAAACUGUCAAAUAUGAAAUAAGGCAUAUUAAUCAGAUAAUACACAGCCUCAGAAGGACCAUGACUUAUAACCAAUGCUCAGGCUGUGGAUGGACUCAAAUAUAACAAAAAGAAAUUUAAAAAAUGUUUUUAUAUGUAAAAAAUAUAAGAAAAACCAAAACAUAGCUAGACAUCAACGAUAAUUAAUGGUAGUUAAAAUAACAAUGUUUCAUACAAACAAAUAAUAUGGCAUUUCUUAAUUCAAGUGAGUAAGCAAAUAUAAUAGGUUAUGUGAUGUCUUACAUAUCAGAAUUUGAUUUUCAAAAAUAAUUUAGUAUCUUGUUGAUAACAACAAAUGCCAAAUAUAGUUCUAGCUUACUAAGUACAAGAAAUGUCAGGAGCUCCUCAUCGUUCUGAUAUAAUUGGUAAAAGAUGCAAGAUCAUUUACAAAAUGGGUGGAAAUUAUUGUGUCUCAGUGAUAAUUGUAGUAAACUAUAUACCGUCGAAUCAGCAGAGGAGAUCAUUUUGGCAUUUU